This 730-nucleotide ribosomal RNA is filed under the name Nostoc commune SULS-S1. RNAcentral's name for it is "bacterial SSU rRNA". It matches the Rfam family "Bacterial small subunit ribosomal RNA", at positions 107 to 869 of the family's 1533-position model. The record is from RNAcentral. Lineage: Bacteria; Bacillati; Cyanobacteriota; Cyanophyceae; Nostocales; Nostocaceae.
UGAGUAACGCGUGAGAAUCUAGCUCUAGGUCGGGGACAACCACUGGAAACGGUGGCUAAUACCGGAUAAGCCGUGAGGUAAAAGAUUUAUUGCCUAGAGAUGAGCUCGCGUCUGAUUAGCUAGUUGGUGUGGUAAGAGCGCACCAAGGCGACGAUCAGUAGCUGGUCUGAGAGGAUGAUCAGCCACACUGGGACUGAGACACGGCCCAGACUCCUACGGGAGGCAGCAGUGGGGAAUUUUCCGCAAUGGGCGAAAGCCUGACGGAGCAAUACCGCGUGAGGGAGGAAGGCUCUUGGGUUGUAAACCUCUUUUCUCAAGGAAUAAUUCAAUGAAGGUACUUGAGGAAUAAGCAUCGGCUAACUCCGUGCCAGCAGCCGCGGUAAUACGGAGGAUGCAAGCGUUAUCCGGAAUGAUUGGGCGUAAAGGGUCCGCAGGUGGCAUUGAAAGUCUGCUGUUAAAGAGUGAGGCUUAACCUCAUAAAAGCAGUGGAAACUACARAGCUAGAGUGCGUUCGGGGUAGCAGGAAUUCCUGGUGUAGCGGUGAAAUGCGUAGAGAUCAGGAAGAACACCGGUGGCGAAAGCGUGCUACUAGGCCGUAACUGACACUGAGGGACGAAAGCUAGGGGAGCGAAUGGGAUUAGAUACCCCAGUAGUCCUAGCCGUAAACGAUGGAUACUAGGCGUGGCUUGUAUCGACCCGAGCCGUGCCGGAGCUAACGCGUUAAGUAUCC